Hibiscus syriacus is the source of this 145-nucleotide long non-coding RNA. RefSeq lists it as uncharacterized. NCBI's taxonomy places the organism in Eukaryota, Viridiplantae, Streptophyta, Magnoliopsida, Malvales, Malvaceae. The record is from RefSeq and is a predicted model, not a curated record. The transcript is spliced from 3 exons.
CUCCCGAAAUCUAUGACACUCCAGGCUAAUAAUGUCGUCGUGAACGCCAUUGGGAACCCGAACUUCACGUUGUCUCCGGCGUCGUAGUAACCUCCCGUUAAGUCCACCUGAAACAGAAACAUCAAACCCCAUUAACAUGACGUUG